UCAUAACAGUAGUGCGUUAGCGAUUGCAGCGGCAUCCUUUUUUAUGUCAGUUCGAGUGUUUUGUGAAGUAUGAGCAAAAUGUAUCGAGAACCAAUAAAAAAGAUAUAGCGAAAAGCGCGACCCCUU
Molecule: small RNA, 126 nt
Filed under: Neotamlana nanhaiensis
Lineage: Bacteria; Pseudomonadati; Bacteroidota; Flavobacteriia; Flavobacteriales; Flavobacteriaceae
Description: Tamlana nanhaiensis Flavo-1 RNA
Rfam family: Flavo-1 RNA
Source: Rfam by way of RNAcentral